This 472-nucleotide ribosomal RNA is filed under the name uncultured bacterium. RNAcentral describes it as "bacterial SSU rRNA". It matches the Rfam family "Bacterial small subunit ribosomal RNA", at positions 355 to 825 of the family's 1533-position model. The record is from RNAcentral.
UGGGGAAUAUUGGACAAUGGGCGAAAGCCUGAUCCAGCCAUGCCGCGUGCAGGAAGAAGGCCUUCGGGUUGUAAACUGCUUUUGUACGGAACGAAAAGGCUCUUUCUAAUAAAGAGGGCCCAUGACGGUACCGUAAGAAUAAGCACCGGCUAACUACGUGCCAGCAGCCGCGGUAAUACGUAGGGUGCGAGCGUUAAUCGGAAUUACUGGGCGUAAAGCGUGCGCAGGCGGUUCUAUAAGACAGAUGUGAAAUCCCCGGGCUCAACCUGGGAAUGGCAUUUGUGACUGUAGAGCUAGAGUACGGUAGAGGGGGAUGGAAUUCCGCGUGUAGCAGUGAAAUGCGUAGAUAUGCGGAGGAACACCGAUGGCGAAGGCAAUCCCCUGGACCUGUACUGACGCUCAUGCACGAAAGCGUGGGGAGCAAACAGGAUUAGAUACCCCCGUAGUCCCUGAGCGGGCUGGCAAGGCGCAU